This 1268-nucleotide ribosomal RNA is filed under the name uncultured euglenozoan. RNAcentral describes it as "bacterial SSU rRNA". It matches the Rfam family "Eukaryotic small subunit ribosomal RNA", at positions 675 to 1805 of the family's 1831-position model. The record is from RNAcentral. Lineage: Eukaryota; Euglenozoa.
UCGCUUCGUGCUUCACUAGUGUGCUGUUCUUGAUGUUUCUAACGCAUUGAAUAUUUGCUUAAGGACAAUCGAUCGUGAUACCGAGAACAAAACAGCGUGCUUCAAGCUGGAUCUCCCAGUAGAUGACAAAGCUUGUUAUAUCAACGAACCUACCGGUUGAUUGCGAUUUACAGGUUUCUGCAGUCAGUGCGGGGAAUCCGAGCUGGAUCACAUUGAGAACACCUGGCUUGUCUUCGGACAGCUAGAUCAUGUACUCGAAUAGUGUCCUGUUCAAGAUAUUAAUAGGGACCGAUGGAGCUGUCAGUAUUCACAGACGAGGGGUGAAAUCCUUAGACUCUGUGAAGACUAACAACAGCGAAGGCAUUCAGCUAAGAGGCCUUCAUUAAUCAAGAACGAGAGUGCAGGGAUCGAAGAUGAUCAGAUACCGUCGUAGUCUGCUACUGUAAACUAUGCAAACUAGGGAUCAGUUGAUGGUGCAACACAUAUCUGUUGACUCGGUUGGUACCUCUCCUUCUUCUUAACGCGAAAGCUUAAGUCUUCGUGUUCAGGGGGGAGUACAGUUGCAAGGCUGAAACUUAAAGGAAUUGACGGAAUGACACCACAAGGCGUGGAUGCUGCGGCUUAAUUUGACUCAACACAGAGAAUGUUACCAGAUCAUGAGGUUUGGAGGAUUGACAGAUUGAUAGCUCUUUCUUGAUUAAGUUAAUGGUGGUGCAUGGCCGCUCCUGGUUGGUGGAGUGAUUUGUCUGGUUGAUUCCGUUAACGAACGAGAUCCCAACCCUUCGAUGACGGUUAUAUCGUAUGUAAUCAUUCGGUGCUUAACCCAUCUGGGUUCAUUGGUUGAUGAGAUGUAAGAUGCACGCAAGGGGACUAUGUGUGUUAACAACACAUUGAAGUGUGGGCCAAUAGCAGGUCUGUGAUGCUCCUAGAUGUUCUGGGCUGCACGCGGCAUACAAUGGUUAAGUCAAUAGGAUUGGUUCGAUCGAGCUCCUGUUGCGAAAGCAUUGGGAACUCCCAUCAGAUUUAACUGUGGCUGGGAUAGAUAUUUGCAACUGUUUGUCUUGAACUAGGAAUGCCUUGUAAACACAUCUCAUCAGAGUGUAUUGAAUGCGUCCCUGCCGUUUGUACACACCGCCCGUCGUUGCAAUCGAUUGGUUCAAUACUAGAGAUCUUCUGGAGAGACACUGUAAUGAUUCGUCGGAAUGGCUGGGUCAAAGUUGCUCGAUAGUAUCGAACUAGAGAAUGCAAAAGUCGUAACAAGGUAGCCG